CACCUUCCGCCAUUCCGAAUACCAAUCCCUCCAGACCCACAAGUUGGUAGGAUUCGCGACCGUUCGGAGUCGGCGACGGCAAGAGAGACGCAGCCAGAUUUUCUCUCGUUGCUUCCAGAAUCAGUAUUUGUCUCAGUUGGAAAGGAGAGAAGAAGAUGAAAACAAGUAGAGAAGAAAGUACAAUGGAGGAGGAAAGGGAUUCAAAGAGACAGAUUGUUGAGCAGUCAUCUCUCUCUCCUCCGCCCCUUGGAUUCGACAACCCACUUCUGCCAUUAGCUAAUACUUAUGAUGAUGAUGAGGAGGAGGAGGAGGAUUUAAGGAGGGAAUCCACUCAUGGUGGUAGACAAGAGGUUAAUGGAGGAAGGAUGGAGCAAAAUGGUCAUAGAGCUGAGAUAGACGUAGAUGAUGAUGAUGAGAGUGACGAUGAUGACAGACUUGGACAAGGGUUUGGUCAAGGGCGGCGAACCCGCUUGGUUGAAGUCCGGCGGGAUUGCCCAUACCUCGAUACCGUUGAUCGACAAGUGUUGGAUUUUGAUUUUGAGAAGUUUUGCUCUGUCUCCUUGUCAAAUUUAAAUGUCUAUGCAUGCUUGGUUUGUGGAAAAUAUUACCAAGGAAGAGGGCAGAAAUCCCAUGCAUAUACGCAUAGCCUUGAAGCUGGCCACCAUGUCUACAUCAAUCUUCAAACAGAAAAAGUUUACUGUCUUCCUGAUGGAUAUGAAAUUAACGAUCCAUCAUUGGAUGACAUUCGGCAAGUCCUGAACCCAAGGUUUACAAACGAGCAAGUUGAGCAUCUUGACAGAAACAGACAGUGGUCCAGGGCACUAGAUGGUUCUGACUACCUUCCAGGAAUGGUGGGCCUCAAUAACAUAAAGAACACCGAUUUUGUGAAUGUCACAAUCCAAUCAUUGAUGAGAGUGACUCCCUUGAGGAACUUUUUUCUCAUUCCAGAGAACUAUCAGCACUGCAAAUCUCCUCUUGUUCAGCGGUUUGGAGAACUUACGCGAAAAAUAUGGCAUGCUCGAAACUUUAAAGGACAGGUGAGUCCUCAUGAAUUUCUUCAGGCAGUUAUGAAAGCUAGUAAGAAGCGGUUCCGAAUAGGUGUGCAGUCUGACCCAGUUGAAUUUAUCUCUUGGCUUCUGAACACCCUGCAUGUAGAUCUUAGAACUUCGAAAAGGAAGACCAGCAUCAUAAACCAAUGCUUUCAGGGGGAAUUGGAGGUUGUGAAUGAGAUUCCAAACAAGGGUAUCGCUGAGAAGAAAGAAAAUGGUGAUGACCAGAAUGGUAUGCUAAAACCAACUGAUGCUGGAACUGCCCAUGAUGGCAUUUUCACAGAAACUUCCAGGAUGACAUUCUUGAUGCUUGGCCUUGAUUUGCCACCACCACCUCUUUUUCAAGAUGUGAUGGAGAAAAAUAUAAUACCCCAGGUCCCGUUGUUCAAUAUACUAAAGAAGUUUGAUGGUGAGGUUGUGACUGAAGUUGUUCGUCCUUGUAUAGCAAGAAAGAGAUUCCGUGUUACCAGAUUGCCACAAUAUUUGAUACUCCAUAUGCGCCGCUUUACAAAGAACAACUUCUUUGUCGAGAAGAACCCGACUUUAGUUAAUUUCCCUGUGAAGAAUUUGGAAUUGAAGGACUAUAUUCCAUUGCCAACACCCAAAGAGAAUGAAAGAACCCGUUCCAAGUACGAUUUGAUUGCCAAUAUUGUCCAUGAUGGUAAACAUGAUGAGGGUUACUACAGGGUUUUUGUGCAGAGGAAGUCAGAAGAACUAUGGUAUGAGAUGCAGGACUUGCAUGUUUCUGAAACCCUUCCUCAAAUGGUUGCACUCUCAGAGACUUAUAUGCAGAUAUAUGAGCAGCAUCGGUAGUGAAGCAAAGCCAAGUCCCAACUUAAGUUGUUACUGGACUGCAUUGAUGUACCCACUUUUUGGUCUUGGCAAGAUAUCUCAACUUUAUCCAGAAGGGUAAAAUUGGGGAUCUAUUGCUGCAUUGCCAUCUCUGUCGGCACUGUAGAUUGUGACUGGUUUCGUGGAGAAUGUGAUAUGAUUUCAGGUUCUUGUUAUGUACGACGUGUUUUGCCUACCACUUUUUUUUUUCCUCUCUCUUUACCUGAUUAAUACAGAAUCGACAGGAGUGCCCUGCUUCUGAAUUGCCCGAAGCAAACAUCAGCUAGGAUGAUGUGAAUUCUCUGUACUUAUUUUAAAUUGUUUGUUUCCCUCAUUUUCCUGCUAGGAUUGGUGGUAGAGUCGUGUAAACACCUCUUUUGUAUGUGUAUAUAUAUAUAUAUAUAUAUAUAUAUAUAUUGGACCUU
Tripterygium wilfordii is the source of this 2305-nucleotide RNA transcript. It is a transcript of the gene named U4/U6.U5 tri-snRNP-associated protein 2-like, with no coding region annotated. The transcript has 11 exons. The record is from RefSeq and is a predicted model, not a curated record. NCBI's taxonomy places the organism in Eukaryota, Viridiplantae, Streptophyta, Magnoliopsida, Celastrales, Celastraceae.